CCUACGGGUGGCAGCAGUGGGGAAUAUUGGACAAUGGGCGAAAGCCUGAUCCAGCCAUGCCGCGUGUGUGAAGAAGGCCUUCGGGUUGUAAAGCACUUUCAGUGGGGAAGAAAGCCUUGGGGCUAAUACCCUCGAGGAAGGACAUCACCCACAGAAGAAGCACCGGCUAACUCCGUGCCAGCAGCCGCGGUAAUACGGAGGGUGCGAGCGUUAAUCGGAAUUACUGGGCGUAAAGCGCGCGUAGGCGGUCUGAUAAGCCGGUUGUGAAAGCCCCGGGCUCAACCUGGGAACGGCAUCCGGGGGUAUCAGGGGAGUGUGGAGGAGAGGAAGGAAUGAGUCCGGGGGUAGCCGUGAAAUGCGUGGAGAUCGGGGGGAAGGGUAGUGGCGAGGGCGGACUUAUGGACUGACACUGACUCUGACGUGUGAUUUCGUAGAUAGCCAACCGGAUUACGGACCCCUGUAGU
This 464-nucleotide ribosomal RNA is filed under the name Vreelandella stevensii. RNAcentral's name for it is "partial 16S ribosomal RNA". It matches the Rfam family "Bacterial small subunit ribosomal RNA", at positions 338 to 794 of the family's 1533-position model. Lineage: Bacteria; Pseudomonadati; Pseudomonadota; Gammaproteobacteria; Oceanospirillales; Halomonadaceae. The record is from RNAcentral.